AUGCUGGAGGUAUCAGAAGUGCGAAUGCUGACAUAAGUAACGAUAAAGCGGGUGAAAAGCCCGCUCGCCGGAAGACCAAGGGUUCCUGUCCAACGUUAAUCGGGGCAGGGUGAGUCGACCCCUAAGGCGAGGCCGAAAGGCGUAGUCGAUGGGAAACAGGUUAAUAUUCCUGUACUUGGUGUUACUGCGAAGGGGGGACGGAGAAGGCUAUGUUGGCCGGGCGACGGUUGUCCCGGUUUAAGCGUGUAGGCUGGUUUUCCAGGCAAAUCCGGAAAACUAAGGCUGAGGCGUGAUGACGAGGCACUACGGUGCUGAAGCAACAAAUGCCCUGCUUCCAGGAAAAGCCUCUAAGCAUCAGGUAACAUCAAAUCGUACCCCAAACCGACACAGGUGGUCAGGUAGAGAAUACCAAGGCGCUUGAGAGAACUCGGGUGAAGGAACUAGGCAAAAUGGUGCCGUAACUUCGGGAGAAGGCACGCUGAUAUGUAGGUGAAGUCCCUCGCGGAUGGAGCUGAAAUCAGUCGAAGAUACCAGCUGGCUGCAACUGUUUAUUAAAAACACAGCACUGUGCAAACACGAAAGUGGACGUAUACGGUGUGACGCCUGCCCGGUGCCGGAAGGUUAAUUGAUGGGGUUAGCGCAAGCGAAGCUCUUGAUCGAAGCCCCGGUAAACGGCGGCCGUAACUAUAACGGUCCUAAGGUAGCGAAAUUCCUUGUCGGGUAAGUUCCGACCUGCACGAAUGGCGUAAUGAUGGCCAGGCUGUCUCCACCCGAGACUCAGUGAAAUUGAACUCGCUGUGAAGAUGCAGUGUACCCGCGGCAAGACGGAAAGACCCCGUGAACCUUUACUAUAGCUUGACACUGAACAUUGAGCCUUGAUGUGUAGGAUAGGUGGGAGGCUUUGAAGUGUGGACGCCAGUCUGCAUGGAGCCGACCUUGAAAUACCACCCUUUAAUGUUUGAUGUUCUAACGUUGACCCGUGAUCCGGGUUGCGGACAGUGUCUGGUGGGUAGUUUGACUGGGGCGGUCUCCUCCUAAAGAGUAACGGAGGAGCACGAAGGUUGGCUAAUCCUGGUCGGACAUCAGGAGGUUAGUGCAAUGGCAUAAGCCAGCUUGACUGCGAGCGUGACGGCGCGAGCAGGUGCGAAAGCAGGUCAUAGUGAUCCGGUGGUUCUGAAUGGAAGGGCCAUCGCUCAACGGAUAAAAGGUACUCCGGGGAUAACAGGCUGAUACCGCCCAAGAGUUCAUAUCGACGGCGGUGUUUGGCACCUCGAUGUCGGCUCAUCACAUCCUGGGGCUGAAGUAGGUCCCAAGGGUAUGGCUGUUCGCCAUUUAAAGUGGUACGCGAGCUGGGUUUAGAACGUCGUGAGACAGUUCGGUCCCUAUCUGCCGUGGGCGCUGGAGAACUGAGGGGGGCUGCUCCUAGUACGAGAGGACCGGAGUGGACGCAUCACUGGUGUUCGGGUUGUCAUGCCAAUGGCACUGCCCGGUAGCUAAAUGCGGAAGAGAUAAGUGCUGAAAGCAUCUAAGCACGAAACUUGCCCCGAGAUGAGUUCUCCCUGACUCCUUGAGAGUCCUGAAGGAACGUUGAAGACGACGACGUUGAUAGGCCGGGUGUGUAAGCGCAGCGAUGCGUUGAGCUAACCGGUACUAAUGAACCGUGAGGCUUAACCUUACAACGCCGAAG
RNAcentral lists this ribosomal RNA (1687 nucleotides) under Escherichia coli. RNAcentral's name for it is "partial 23S ribosomal RNA". It matches the Rfam family "Bacterial large subunit ribosomal RNA", at positions 1270 to 2925 of the family's 2925-position model. Lineage: Bacteria; Pseudomonadati; Pseudomonadota; Gammaproteobacteria; Enterobacterales; Enterobacteriaceae. The record is from RNAcentral.